Molecule: RNA transcript, 1877 nt
Organism: Balaenoptera ricei (Rice's whale)
Lineage: Eukaryota; Metazoa; Chordata; Mammalia; Artiodactyla; Balaenopteridae
Gene: NMRK1
Gene name: nicotinamide riboside kinase 1
Exons: 10
Source: RefSeq, a predicted model, not a curated record
UCGCGCCGGGGCCGGCCUGGCCGCGCGCGCCCCGGACGGGAAAGGGCUGGACUGGGCAGGAGCGCGCGCGCGCGCGCGACCACGCUCGCCAGAGUCCCGCCCCAUCCAACGCUGGCCGGAGCCGGGCGCCGCGUCCGCUCAGGGUGGGACAGAACCCUAAGUUGGCCACCUUUACCCUGCGCCGCCUCUCACCCGGGAGGGGCACGGGGGAAGGGGCCGUGGGCCUCUCGGUUAACGAGCUUCGGGGGUUGCGGCGGGUUAGUGACAGGCGCGCUUGGCAAUCGCCUGUGCCGCUUUGCUUGGGAGCACUCGAACUGGCGCCCGGAAGACGUGAUUUUCAAAGCUAAUUAUGAAAACAUUUGUCAUUGGAAUCGGUGGUGUGACAAAUGGUGGGAAGACAACACUGGCUAAGAAUUUGCAGAAACGCCUUCCAAACUGCAGUAUCAUAUCUCAGGAUAAUUUCUUUAAGCCAGAGUCUGAGAUAGAGACAGAUGAAAAUGGAUUUCUUCAGUAUGAUGUGCUUGAAGCACUUAACAUGGAGGAAAUGAUGUCCGCCAUUUCCUGCUGGAUGGAAAGCGCAGCACACCCUCUGGCAUCAACAGACAGGGGAAACACUGAGGAAAUUCCCAUCUUAAUUAUCGAAGGUUUCCUUCUCUAUAAUUAUAAGCCCCUUGACACUAUAUGGAAUAGAAGCUAUUUUCUGACCAUUCCGUAUGAAGAAUGUAAGAGGAGGAGGAGUACAAGGAUCUACGAGCCUCCAGACACCCCAGGGUACUUUGAGGGCCACGUGUGGCCCAUGUAUCUAAAGCACAGAAAAGAAAUGGAGAACAUCUCAUGGGAAAUCGUUUACCUAGAUGGAACAAAAUCUGAAGAGGACCUCUUUUCACAAGUGUAUGAAGACCUAAUACAAGAACUAGCAAAGCAAAAGUGUCUGCAAGUGACAGCGUAAAGUUGGAAUGCACUGAAUCCUUCCUGGAGUGAAUUAGGAAAUUCAAAGGAAUCUAUGCAAGAACCUUAACCAAGAUACAAUGUGUACUUCGAUCUAUCAUCUGUAAGUCUGAAGGUUAUAUUGGAGGACUUUCUUAAAACUUCAAAGUGACCAUGAUGAAAACAUCCAACAGGGAAGAAAUUUCCAACAGUGACGAUGCUUCUGUAAAAGUAUGGUAUUUAUUUUACUGUAUGGGCAUUUGGACUUCUAUCUAGUGGCCUUUAAAUUUAUAGAAAUAACUAACCUUUAUUGAACACCUACCGUGUUUCAGGUAUGGUGUCAAGUAUUGUCAAGAAAACUUUCCAAAACUGGGAAAUAGGCAGAAGGGCUACUGCAUGUCCUUUCAGAGUUAUCUAAGCAUUUUCUAGCCAACCCACCUUAGCCAGUUCUCUGGGAGUGUGUAUCUUUGUUUGACUUGCUAUUUUCUCUUCAUUAGCAUAUUUUAAAUUUCAUAAGAGUAGAUGUUAACUUGUAGAAAUUGAUAGACAGGGUUUCUCAAGCUCAGCACUAUUGGGAUUGGGGGCUGGAAAAUUCUUUUUUGCGGGGGGAGGGCUGUCCUGUACGUUGAAGGAUGUUUAGGACCAUGCCUGUUCUCUACCCGCUAGACGCCAGUAGCACUCACACAUACCCUCACCCCCCAGCUGUAACAACCAAAAAUGUCUUCAGCCAUUGCCAAAUGUCCCCUGGAAAGAGAAAUUACCCCCACUUGAGAACAGCUGAUGAUUGUGAUGAAAAUGAAAUUUGUUCACUAGAGAUGCAAAUUAUUUAUCUGGUAAAGAAGACAACCCCAAAAGUUACAGUUUUAUUGCCCUGUACAUCAACCAGUUUUGUAUCUAAAUUAGCCAGCUUUUUCAAGCCUUUUUCUUUAGCCACUGUAAAUACUUUGCUC